UCUGCCUCAGAGAGUUUAGGGCUGCAUUAUGUACUGGGGGCAGGGCACAAGUUCAAGUCCUACCAAGUGCUAGGAGGGAUAACUGGGUGCUGAUGGCUGGUUGCCAGUCCAGGGCCACCUCUCGGAGAAGGUGGCAUCUUAGUUGAGAUCUGAAUGACAACAGCAGCGAAGAGAAAUGUUCAGAUGUCAAGAAAGGGCUGAGCACGUUCCCAGGAGAGAAGGGUACGCAUGGCUCCGGUGGGAAGGACAGGUGGACCUGGACACCAUGAGAAAUGGAAGUCCACGGACAAGUGUAAGCAGGCCUGGCAGCGAAGGUGUACAUGCCUGAGAACGGUCUCCGGCUGCUGAGGGAAGUGCCAUGCGCCUACUCUUCCCUCCUGCCUCCCCACUGGCUGGGGUGUGGAUGUGAACGUUCUGGACCUUUCCUUGGUCUGUGAGAAGCUGCAGUAAUGCCACUGUCUAAACUCCUGUGACUGGAAAAAGCCAUUGGGAAGAAGUCAUUCCUCACUCGCAAGGCGGCUGGCUGAUGUCAUCCAUAUAUGCCUUUAGAAACACAUGUACCUUGGCUGUCCCAUGAGCCAGUCCUCCCCUGAGUAGGUGCCACGCCCAACAUGAGGCUUGAACUCAGGACCCUGAGAUCAAGAGUCACAUGCUCUACCAACUGAGCCAGCCAGGCACCACUCUUCAUUACCUCUUCAAAGGCUCUAUAUCCAAAUAAAGUUCACACUGGGGAUUAGGGCUUUAGCAUAUGAAUUUGGAGGGACACAAUUCAGUCCAUAACAGAGUAAGUUACAGAAUAAAGCGGGGGUAAAGAUGUAGGUAACAAGAGGU
This is a long non-coding RNA of Callorhinus ursinus (northern fur seal), 831 nucleotides long. RefSeq lists it as uncharacterized. NCBI's taxonomy places the organism in Eukaryota, Metazoa, Chordata, Mammalia, Carnivora, Otariidae. The record is from RefSeq and is a predicted model, not a curated record.